RNAcentral lists this ribosomal RNA (269 nucleotides) under uncultured bacterium. Its description in RNAcentral is "partial 16S ribosomal RNA". It matches the Rfam family "Bacterial small subunit ribosomal RNA", at positions 524 to 792 of the family's 1533-position model. The record is from RNAcentral.
GACGGAGGAUGCAAGUGUUAUCCGGAAUCACUGGGCGUAAAGCGUCUGUAGGUUGUCAAAUAAGUCAACUGUUAAAUCUUGAGGCUCAACUUCAAAAUCGCAGUCGAAACUAUUAGACUAGAGUAUAGUAGGGGUAAAGGGAAUUUCCAGUGGAGCGGUGAAAUGCGUAGAGAUUGGAAAGAACACCGAUGGCGAAGGCACUUUACUGGGCUAUUACUGACACUCAGAGACGAAAGCUAGGGUAGCAAAUGGGAUUAGAUACCCCUAGU